AAAGUCCAAAGUGACCAGGUAGAAGAUAUGGGCCAUCAUUCAAUAUGCCUUCUAACGAAAGUACAUAUACCAGGCUGAACUCAGAUAUGAUCCACCUAGAUCUGCCUUGCAAGUGUUGACAUAAAAGGAUGCAUGAAAAUCUGCCAAGUGAAAAGCAUAUUAAAACAUAUAAAAAUAUAAAAGAUGAUGAGCAAUUAACAAAUACCAAAUAUGAACUAGCCCCCUGGGUACUGAUGUGGAUGAGCUCUGUUGAUCCCUGACCUCAGGCAAAGGUUUUCAUCACUGACACUUCCAAGCUGAAGAAUGAAUUUCCAUAGUUUUGAAAAUAUCAGCCUCAGAAGUCUUCUGAUCUCAUGGAAUUUCAGCAUUAUCGGCAUAGAGCACUUAAAGGAUGAAGAUUUAUUUCAAAAGAAUUAUUUCUAUUAUGGUACCAGUAUAAUGGGA
Molecule: small RNA, 444 nt
Filed under: Rattus norvegicus (Norway rat)
Lineage: Eukaryota; Metazoa; Chordata; Mammalia; Rodentia; Muridae
Description: uncharacterized LOC103693548
Source: RNAcentral